CAGUAGCCGCGGGAAUACGUAGGGUGCAAGCGUUAAUCGGAAUUACUGGGCGCAAAGCGUGCGCAGGCGGUUCGUUAAGACAGAUGUGAAAUCCCCGGGCUUAACCUGGGAACUGCAUUUGCGACUGGCGGGCUAGAGUAUGGCAGAGGGGGGUAGAAUUCCACGUGUAGCAGUGAAAUGCGUAGAGAUGUGGAGGAAUACCGAUGGCGAAGGCAGCCCCCUGGGCCAAUACUGACGCCCAUGCACGAAAGCGUGGGGAGCAAACAGGAUUAGAGACCCCAGUAGUCCCUGUCUCUUAUAC
This 301-nucleotide ribosomal RNA is filed under the name uncultured bacterium. Its description in RNAcentral is "partial 16S ribosomal RNA". It matches the Rfam family "Bacterial small subunit ribosomal RNA", at positions 509 to 807 of the family's 1533-position model. The record is from RNAcentral.